CUCGGGUCCGCCGAAAAUAUUUAUUUAUUUACUUCAUUCCUCCCGAGGCGGCCGACGUAAUUCUCCCCUCCCAUCUUACCCCGCAACAAGCUGUGGGAGUGCGACUGGCCCAAGGUCAGCCAGUGAGCUCCAUGGCAGAGCCCGGAUUAUAGUUACCUCAUGUAAUUUACCUCAUCAAACUGAGAGUGCAACGGGCUGAAGGUCAUCCAGUGAGCUCUAUGGCAGAGCAGGGAUUAUUUACCUCAUAAAACCAGGAGACUGGGGGCUCUCCUGUCCUCCUCAGGCAGGCCAUUCCACAGGGUGGGGCCACCACAGAGAAAGCCCAUGUACAGGCUGCUGUUGAUUUCGCUUAUGUGCAGGGUGGCACUUGCAGGAGACCCUGUUCUGAUGAGCGAAGCUGCCACGGAGGAACAUAGGGAGGGAGGCGGUCCUGUAGGUGUGCCGGACCAAGGCCGAGAAGAGCUUUCACUGCCCCUUUUGCGACAUCGCGCAAAACGUUUGCGAGAAGAGGCUAUCUUCUGCAUUUUUGUGCAAUAUUUCGCAAUGUUCCGGGACAGGUGUUUUACAACUGUGUGUUGUGAGAAGAUCCAUACCUUCAGUGAUCCUAAGUGACACAGUGAGUGUGGCGGUAGAGUCCAGAGGCGAAAAGGUGACCUGUACCACUUCAGCCCGGGGAGGUGGGAUAACCUUUUUGAAGGUCAUAAUUCACACAUCAUGGAUUUCACAGGUUGAGUUUGGCAUCCUCACUUCAUGUAAGGCAUGACAGUUAAACAU
This is a long non-coding RNA of Eublepharis macularius, 774 nucleotides long. RefSeq lists it as uncharacterized. Lineage: Eukaryota; Metazoa; Chordata; Lepidosauria; Squamata; Eublepharidae. The transcript has 6 exons. The record is from RefSeq and is a predicted model, not a curated record.